CACAAACAGCGAGAUCACAACCUGAGCCAAGAUCAAGAGUCGGAUGCUUAACCUACGGAGCCAGCCAGGAGCCCCGGCACCCAUCCCAUUUAUUCACGUGCCAUUGGCUUCAGCUCAGUCAGGGUGACAUCCCAGCCGUGGUCGAGACAGAGGAGUGUUAGACGAGCUGUGUACUGAGGAAGAAGAGAAACCACUGUCUUUGCCACAAAACCAAAAGCACCCCGCUUUCUGUGACUUGUCGUGCAGCAGAGAUCCUGGAGUGAAGCCGACGGAUGAAAACAGGAUUGAGGAACCACAGCCACGUGUUUCUCAUUCAUCGAGUAUUGGAAGUGAGACGGUUUAAACGGAAGCAUCUUACAGCCAUCGACUGCCAACAUUUGGCUCGGAGUCACUUGGCUGUGACCCAGCCCUUCGGUCAAAGAUGGACCAACAGAGACCCGAACCACGGUCUCUAUCCUAGACCCAGAACAAAAAGAGGGACUAGGGGUCAAGGAUGUCAAAGGUACGGCACUGAAUUCCUCCUAGCUGGCCAGCAGCGGCGCACCAAUGACAUGGCCAAAAGCAAUUCUGUGGGCCAGGACACCUCUAAGGACUCGGAGGGGGAAAUGAUCUUUGCCGCGGAGAGCAACUGUGCCCUGCCUCGAGAAGGUGAUGGAGAAGCCAGACUGGGCUCGUCAGGGUCCGCGCCGCCUGCAAGGAAGCGGUCCCGGUCCUUUGAGGACGAGAGGAAUCCAGCAACAGGGACCAGUCAGUGGGACGGAGCUUCUAAGAAAACGCCACGGCAUCGUUCGCUCCUGUCAUGCCCAAGACCCCGGGAAGCCAGGCAGGAAGCAGAGGACUUUGUGUCCCAGCCCUCUGCGGAGUCUGGAGAACCCAGCCAGGAAGUGGAAGACGUCGGUCCUGACCCCAUUCCUGACUCUUACUAUGGGCUCCUGGGGACCUUGCCUUGCCAGGAACCCCAGAGCCACAUGGGCAGCCUGCCCAGUGAGGUCCUGAGGCACAUCUUUGCUUUCCUCCCUGUGGAAGAUCUCUACUGGAACGUGAGCUUAGUGUGCCACUUCUGGAGGGAGAUCAUCAGCGAUCCGCUGUUCAUUCCUUGGAAGAAGCUGUAUUACCGAUACCUGAUGAAUGAAGAACAAGCCGUGAGCAAAGUGGAUGGCAUCCUGUUGAACUCCGGUAUAGAGAAGGAGUCGGACUUGUGUGUGCUCAACCUCAUCCGCUAUACAGCCACCACUAAGUGCUCCCCAAGCGUGGAUCCCGGACGGGCGUUGUGGAGUCUGAGGGAUCACCUCCUCCUCCCUGAGGCAGAGGCCUGCGUGCGUCAGCACCUCCCCGAUCUCUACGCGGCUGCUGCGGGUGUCAACGUGUGGGCUCUGGUGGCGGCCAUCGUGCUCCUCUCUAGCAGUGUGAAUGACAUCCAGCAGCUGCUCUUCUGCCUCAGGCGGCCCAGCUCCACCGUGACCAUGCCGGACAUCACGGAGACCCUGUACUGUAUCGCCGUGCUUCUCUAUGCCAUGAGGGAGAAGGGGAUCAACAUCAGCAACCGGAUUCACUACAACAUUUUCUAUUGCCUGUAUCUUCAGGAGAAUUCCUGUACUCAGGCCGCAGAAGUUAAAGAGGAACCAUCGGUUUGGCCAGGCAAGAAAACAACCAUCCAGCUCACACAGGAACAACAGCUGAUUCUGAACCACAAGAUGGAACCCCUCCAGGUGGUAAAGAUUAUGGCAUUUGCAGGCACCGGGAAGACCUCUACCCUGGUCAAGUAUGCUGAGAAGUGGUCUGAGAGCAGGUUUCUGUAUGUGACAUUCAACAAGAGCAUCGCAAAGCAGGCCGAGCUAGUCUUCCCCAGCAAUGUCAUCUGCAAAACCUUUCAUUCCAUGGCCUAUGGACACGUCGGGCGGAAGUACCAAUUAAAGAAGAAAUUGAAUCUCUUCAAGUUGACCCCUUUCAUGGUCAAUUCUGUCCUUGCUGAAGGGAAAGGUGGAUUCAUAAGGGCCAAGCUCGUGUGUAAGACUUUAGAAAACUUCUUUGCCUCGGCUGACGAAGAGCUGACGAUUGAUCACGUGCCUAUCUGGUGUAAGAACAGCCAAGGACAGAGAGUCAUGGUUGAACAGAGUGAAAAGCUGAACGGUGUCCUUGAAGCAAGCCGACUCUGGGACAACAUGCGGAAGCUGGGGGAAUGCAAAGAAGAGGCGUACCAAAUGACUCACGAUGGCUAUUUGAAACUCUGGCAGCUGAGCAAGCCUCUGCUUGCCUCUUUUGACGCCAUCUUUGUGGAUGAGGCCCAGGACUGUACCCCAGCUAUCAUGAACAUAGUUCUGUCUCAGCCCUGUGGGAAAAUCUUUGUAGGGGACCCACAUCAACAGAUCUAUACCUUCCGCGGUGCGGUCAAUGCUCUGUUUACAGUCCCUCACACGCACGUCUUCUAUCUCACACAGAGUUUUAGAUUUGGUGUAGAAAUAGCUUAUGUGGGAGCUACUAUCUUGGAUGUCUGCAAGCGAGUAAGGAAAAAGACUUUGGUCGGAGGAAACCAUCAGAGUGGCAUUAGAGGUGACACAAAGGGGCAGGUGGCCCUGUUGUCCCGGACCAAUGCCAAUGUGUUUGAUGAGGCCGUGCGGGUGACCGAAGGAGAAGUGCCUGCCAGGAUACAUUUGAUUGGGGGGAUUAAAUCAUUUGGAUUGGACAGAAUCAUUGAUAUUUGGAUCCUUCUUCAGCCGGAGGAAGAACGGAAGAAACAGAACCUCGUUAUUAAAGACAAGUUUAUUAGAAGAUGGGUGCACAAGGAGGGCUUCAGUGGCUUCAAGAGGUAUGUGACCGCGGCUGAGGAUAAGGAGCUGGAGGCCAAGAUUGCAGUCGUUGAGAAGUAUAACAUCAGGAUUCCAGAACUGGUGGAGAGGAUAGAGAAGUGUCACAUAGAAGACCUGGACUUCGCAGAGUACAUUUUGGGCACUGUACACAAAGCCAAAGGCUUGGAGUUUGACACUGUGCACGUUUUGGACGAUUUUGUGAAAGUGCCUUGCGCCAGGCACAACCUCGCACAGCUGCCCCACUUCAGAGUCGAGUCGUUUUCUGAGGAUGAAUGGAAUUUACUGUAUGUUGCAGUAACUCGUGCCAAGAAGCGUCUCAUCAUGACCAAGUCCUUGGAGAACAUCUUGACUUUAGCUGGGGAGUACUUCUUGCAAGCAGAACUGACGAGUAACGUGUUGAAGACCGGGGUGGUUCGCUGCUGUGUGGGGCAGUGCAACAACGCCAUCCCCGUGGACACUGUGCUCACCAUGAAGAAGCUCCCCAUCACCUACAGCAACAGGAAGGAGAACAAGGGCGGCUACCUCUGCCACUCGUGUGCAGAGCAGCGCAUUGGGCCGCUGGCCUUCUUGACGGCCUCCCCCGAGCAGGUGCACUCCAUGGAACGCACCAUCGAGAACAUAGUGCUGCCCAGACACGAAGCCCUGCUCUUCCUCGUCUUCUGAAAGCCACGGGGAGCUUUCUCCACGCACGUCAGGGAUGCAGAUGGCAGGUAGGGGAGCUGGCGCAGCGUGACCCAGAGAGCUCGCCGCUCCUGGUCUCAGCCCACCAAGCGGCGUCCUGGAGCGGGCCUCGUAGCUUCACUUGUCGCGGCCUCCCCUUAGCCUCUUCCAUCAGCCUGGUGGCGCUUAGAGUGCAGGCCGUUGCAACAACUGAAGUGCUUUAUAUCUUGUGACUCAUUUUGAACAACCAUAAAAGGAGGGGAUGUGCCAUUCUUCACACUUCCUCCUGCUUGCUAGCUGAGAUGCGGACCUGAUGAUGGGAGCCCCAGCAGUCAUACUGGAAUUUGAAAGAGAUAGGCGGAGGCUCCCUGCAGUGACCUGGAAGAGGAAAAGGAAAUUCUCAAGGCAAGUUGGCGACGGCAUGGAGGGGAAGUAAAACACAGAGGUUGGAAGGCGGCAGAGGAGAACCAGCCUGGAAGGUUGCUGGAGGGAGGCCAUAAUGUUGCCCUGUCCAUCUACCCAGCCAGCCUGUGCACCCCUCGAUGGCAUCCCCCAGAAGUGGCCAGCCAGCCCCUCUCUCUGAGCAUUUUCAAGGACAGAGGGCUUCUAACUUUUGAAGCCAUUAGUUGAAUGAAGACCUUUCCUUUUCUCACAGGGAAUGGCGUGCGAUAAAGAGAAGAGAGACAGGUCCCCACCCGUGUGAGACGUCUCCCGUGAAAGACAAGGAAAUCGUUGGGGGGAAGGGUCCCUGAAGAAGUGAGCAAGCAGCAGAAGGCCCUCCGCGGCCCUCUGCGGUGUUUUUGCCUUCGUGCUCACAAUUGCAGCCUUCACGGAAGCACUGGGUCACGCCUGAGCGCAGUGCAGCAACUUUCAAGAGUUGGAAAUAACCUGCAAUGAGAUGUCAGGCGUUGGUACCUUGCCACCCAAGUGCCUCUUUAACCCAGACCGUGUGUGUAUGUCUUCAGUCUGGAAACUUUUUCAUCCAAAAAUACCCCAACUUGAACAUGCCUUUUAAGCAGAGCUUCAUUUAUUUCCUUUUCAGAAUUUUUGACAGAGCCACACGAGUCUCCAAGUCACCUCUGUCAACCUUCUCAUCUUACAGAGAGAAACUGAGGCCCAGGGAGGUAGAGCAAUUCAUCUAAAGCCAUGCUCCUCCAACAAUGUUAGGAGGCAUCUUGGCUCACUUUCAGCUCCCUGCAAAGUUUAAUUUCCCCUUAAUCUUCUCUCCACUGACCUCAGAAGACACGCCCCACUUUCUAAGAGAACUCCUAAUUUUUGAAGUUUCUAACUGGCCCCUAGGCAGUGAAGGGGACGGGGAAAUUCACUUGAAUGUCCACCAUGUUGAGGGAUAGCCUGACUCAAGGGUGACUCUAGCUCUUCCAGAAAUGACUUCAACAAGACAUUGCACAAAAGACAUCGCUUCCAGAAAACUCAAGACUUAGCCAAAGAAAUCUAAGAAUACUUCUCUUUGAGAUGAGUGGGGUCAAGGGGUGGAGUUGUAGUGGUCAAGAAGAGUUCUUUGCUAGCACCUCUAACCCACCAUGAGCAAAGUCACUUUUUGUGUGUGUGCCUCAGUUUUCUCAAAUCUAAAAUGGAGAUCCAGGUCAAGUGUAUCCAAUCAGAUUGAACUUCAGAAUCAAAUAUGCUGUAAUUGAAUACUGGAUUUCAAAGCUCUGAAUGAAGACAAGUUAUAACAUAUCUUACUCAUUGCUUUGGUGUGGGUUAUAAUCCAAGUGAUAGCGUUGGAUUUCUUGAGUUCAAUAAAAUGUUUUAAAAUUGCAAAAUAAAAUAAAGUAAAAUUAAAUGGAACGUAUGUACAGGUGACACAGAGCACUGCCUAUUUAAGAUGCCAUUUUAGAGAAAAUAGCAGCUCUUCUAUGAGGUAGUCCCUAAGCUUACCAAAGUCCUGUCUCCCCAAGGUAUAUCCUGAAGAUGAGCAAGGUUAACCAUGGUAAUAACACUUGGGGUCUAGAGAAAUUGAAUGAUUAAACAUGGAGGAUUAAACACUUUGUGUUUUAAUGACAGAUGUGCAGAUGGGAAAUUCCAGUGUGGGCAGUUGUCUUUAGAAGAAGGGAUAAUUAGACAAAAAUAUCAUCUUUAUGGGUUUCCACACUUUGGUGGUUUUUUUUUUUUUUUUUUUUUUGAGUCUAGGGGAUGAAGAUUUGAUCACAGAAUUCCUAGAAUGAAAGACGAUCAAAGCAUAGAUAAACUCUCAGAAUUUCCACAAUUCUGAGAAAGGUGCCUUCGCUAACGUGCCAUGUUGGUAACAUCAGGAGAAUUCUCUUUUUAACCACAUCCCAGGACCCAGUAAUACAGAGAUUAAAAAACACCCAGGUUGACUAAUACAUCCUCUGCGACUCAUCACCAUUUUAAUUGGUGGCUUUGGAAAUUUUCAGAAUGAAAAUCUGCCUUAUGAAUCAGCUAGAAAUUGCAUCUGUUGAUGGUCUGUUUGAUUUUGUUAGAGACCUCUCCCCUCUGAAGAGUAAAAAGUCUUGUUUAUUUUAAGACUGGGCUCCUCCUCUUGGAGAAGAAAGUCCGAGAUGAGAUUAUUUCUUACCCUGGGGUGGUUCCUAAACCAGAUAUUAAUCCCAUAAACUCAAUUUAUUUCAUCCUCAUUGGUCACCAGGUUCUCAUGUGCCUCUUGACUGGACUAUGGAAGGGGCCUCCCAACAUGUCUCUGUGCACCUGAUCUCUCUCCACUCUGUGCCAGAGUCACCUCCACAGAAGUGUCUGCAGUGAACAGAAAGAGUGUAAAUCAGGGAGCCUUGGGUUUGAACCCCAACUCUGUCACUGUCUCUGCGACUUCUGAGUUUUGGGUUCUUCAUCCAGUGAGUUUGUGACAUCCACAUUGCAAAGUGGGUAUAAAGAUUAAGAUACGACUUACACGUCUGGCACAUAGAAGGUACUCUAUAAAUGGUCAUUUUUAUUUUUGGGUAGUUUUCCAUUGACUACCAAAUGAAGUUAAAAUUUAUAACUUGCUAUCCAAGGCCUUGGAUCAUUCAUUUGACCCCAUCCUAUCUUUUCAGCCUUGAUCUCCCAUGUCCCCAUAUACCCAUCCAGUGUCAGGGGGCACAGUGGACCACUUGCUGUUCCCUUGUGCUCUGCUGUGUCUUUGUCACAGGGACCUUUCUCUCUGAGAAAGUUAAAGCCUUAGGAAAAUUUAUUUACCUAAGGAAAUUUAUUCAUAUCCCAGGGCUCUUUUUGCAUGCUGCCAUCAUUUACAUCUGGCCCACAUGGAUCUCAUCGCAUUCUAAUCUGAAGUGCUGUUGUGAUACCUGUGUCUUUAUCUCCCUUGCUAGGUUAUAAGUCUGUUAAGGACCGAGACUAUGUCUUAUUCAUUUUCAUAUUUUCUACAGUGUUGAGAAGGGGAUUAAGAGGUUUUUGAAUAGAUUUUUGGAGACCCGAGUGAAUGAAAGAGUCCUCGUAUUACUUCCACUUGCCUCACUCCCACCAAGACCAUUCAUAUCUUCAGAUCACCAGCGACUGACAAUAGCACAAGUUUACUUGAAAUGUGUUUCCCAGAGAUAGGUCAUGACUUAUUGUAAAGACUUUUCUGUUCUAACUUGAACUGUCCUCCCACUUUGCAAAGACCAUGCUGAAACAGAAGUCAUGUUAUAAGCCUUUCAAAAAUCAUGCCCUCUUCAACUCCACAGUGAAGAAAUUCCUAUCCCUGGGUCAGUUCACAGCCCAACAUAAUCUGGCUACUUCACCAAAUAAGCAAAAAGACUCCUUAGAUGCAUCAUCAGGUUUCACUUCUUAACACAUCUUUCUGUGGCCAGUUAGCAUUAUUAUACAUCUAGAAGUUAAGGCAAUGAAAUUGUUGACUUUGAUACCUUAUCUGUCUUCCUGGGUAAGCAAGGCAAGAAGUUAUUAGAAAAUUCACACUCAAUUAGGAAAGGUGGUUUGAGGUAGAAGUUGGUGGUUUCUUAUUUGUUAAAAAAAUUUCUUUGACAAAACCCAUUUAAAAGGAUGAAUGAAAUCCAAAAUUUGCACGUGUGUGUGUGUAUACAUACAAACACAUAUGUAUACAUGCAUAUAUCCAUAUAAGACUAUAAGAAAAAGUAGAGUUCUGAAAGCAAGUAUGCUUAUUUUUUCUAAAAUUUCUAUAACAUUGCACGUGUAAAGAGCAUCCUAGGUAUUAUUUCCUGAGGCAGUAUGUAGAAAAACAGCAUAUACAUUUUUGAAGCCAAGAUUUUUUGAGAUCUUAAAUUAUCCUGAUGUUUCCUAUAUUAGUUACUGACAUCUCAGGACAUUAACCUGGUCUUAGAUUCCUAGUAGAUUUUUAGAUUGUUAGGUAUGGCGAAAAACUGUAUCCAUUGGAAAAUAAGAGAACAUGUCUUGAGGAAUCUGCUCAUUCGUAUUCUGUUAAUAUUCAAAUAUCCCGCCACUCUAUUCACCCCAGAAUUAACAAAGACUCUGAGUGACAGGAGAUCCCACCAUCCCAGGCUCUGUGUAUAGAUCAGGGACGAUUGAAGCAUGACAUGGGACCCUAGGGGGUCACGGACAAAGAAUAGACCCCAAGAUUCAACCCCUGUGUCUGCACUUUCUACUUAGGAACCUCCUGAUUCUGGACUGAGAAGAGCUAACAUCCAUGAGCCUUCCCAAGAUUCAGAGGGCACCUGUGACCCUUACCUGUCACGUGGCCAUGUACCACGACGAAUGUGAGGAUUCCCCACAGCAGCAGGCUUGGCUCCAUCUUGAGGGCAGUGAAGAGAAGGUGUUUCUCCGCAGAAGGCCAAGUUUCCAGUCAGCCUCUUAUUUGUAUCAUGCUGGGAGGACGAGGGAUGAAAAGAUCAAUCCACUCAGGAUGUCAUCAUGCUGUGGUCCCUCUGGUCUCUAUGACAGUCCGAAGUCGCUCUCUAUAAGUAUUAGGCUGCUUUGGUGAGCCAGGAAAUUGUGCCUAGCCCUCUCUAGUUUCAAAUAUAGGAAGUGGUUUUAACCAGGUUUUUUUUCAAGUUCAAUUGCUGGGAGGUGUGGGCUGGGUUGGUGAGAAGGAUUGGACUUCGUUUAUGAAUCCUUUCUUCAGCUUCACCAGAAAAGGAAAGGGAGAUUCCCCUGCUGCUGAAAGAGAGUGAGCAAGCACUUUGUGGCAGUGGUCUCAUUUAGUGUUUCAUAAAUUGACAUCACCUUGAAAUUGAGGUCUUCCCCCAGACUUGUGGCUCCCUGAGGAGUCAGCAGGUGCCACAUAGGAUGAGUGGGGUCUUCAGUAUUCAGGUAAUUAAAAAGGAAGCAGAAGACUGACCCAUAUUCAAAAUUCAUGAAUUGUCUGCCAAGAUCUAUAAUCAGUAGUGUAGUGGCCACAAUUGUUUCACCAUGAUGUCCAGGUUCCUGAAUGUGAAUUGUGAUUUUACAAGAUAUUUUGCCUCCAGAAUUGUCUUUCUCUUAAAGGAUCAUACUAAAAGUGGGCUUUGGUUUUAAACUUUAGACUUUUUUUUGCAAAAUUAAAUCAUUCUUCAUUGUUUAAUUAUCAGAGUUAUCUUCUGAUUUUCAUGAAAUGGUUGACUGUGUUUCCUAUCUGGAAAUUCACAUCCAUUAGCAAUCAUCUAAUGAUCACAGUAUAAUAUGAUCUUUUUAAGAAGUUUACUUAUUUAUUUUGAGAGAAAGAGAGCAUGAAUGGAGGAGGGGCAGAGAGAGAGGAAGAGAGAAUCCCAAGUAGGCUCCAUGCUGUGAGCGCGGAGUGCAACACAGGACUCGAACUCACGAACUGUGAGAUCAUGACUUGAGCCAAAAUCAAGGAUUGGACACUCAACCCACUGAGCCACCCAGGCACACUAAAAUACAAUUUUUAAAAUAUUUGAAAGCAAGUAAAUAUAUUGACAAAAGGAAGACCAUCUUUUCAACCAAAGCAGUUCAUGGUUCCAAUAUGUAUUAUCUCUACCCCUGACAUUCUCUCAGAAAAGCAACUACCUCUGAAAAGAACCUUGGAAUUCUGCAAAUGAACUAAGAGUAGUUUCCUAACUAAGUACCAGAGUUUGCAGAGAAAACUCGUCAACUGAUCUCUUUCUGGGAGUGGGAUACUUAUCAAAGCAUGACAAGAUUAUUUUUUUAAGAUUCCAGAGCAGGCUUCACCUCAUGGCUAGAAACAUUUUCAACUGUGUGGAUGAAUGCAGCAAUUCUGUUAUCCCCGGAGUCUGUCCCAGUGACUGAACUGGAGGUUUUUGCUAGCCAUAGUUACCAUUGUAUAGUUUUUAAACAAACUUACAGAAAAAAUAUAAUAUGAACAUCUCCCUCCAAUAAACUAAGAGUAGUUGUCAGUGCAAUGUUCUAUUGCCCCCGAGCAGUUGAGUGUGUAUUUCCUACGAACAAGGAAAUUCUCCAACAUCACUACAACCAUCAAUCAGGAAACCAUAUUGAUGCAUUAUUACCAGGCAAUCCUUAGACCCAAGUUUCUCUAGUUGUCUCAGUAAUGUCCCUCACAUCAAAGGAUCCAGUUCAGAAUCAUCUGUUGCAUCUAGUUGCCAUGUGUCUUUAGCAGGUCCUUUGUCUUGGAUUUCAUGACCUGACGUAUUUGAGGAUUACAAAUGAGUUAUUUUGUAGAUUAUCCCUCAGUUUGGAUUUAUUUACCAUUUCCUCACUAUUAGAUCAGGUUUUGCAUCUUUGGCAAGAAUAACACAGAAGUGGUGCUGUGUUCUUACCAUCACACCCUUCGAUCCCAUUACUGAUGCCGUUUACUUUGGUCCUUUGAUUGAAUAAAGUGGUGUUAUCUGGGUGCCCCCCGUUUCAAAGUCACUGUUUUCCUCUUUGUAAUAAAUAUUGUGUGAUAUGA
This is an RNA transcript of Felis catus (domestic cat), 10233 nucleotides long. It is a transcript of the gene named F-box DNA helicase 1, with no coding region annotated. NCBI's taxonomy places the organism in Eukaryota, Metazoa, Chordata, Mammalia, Carnivora, Felidae. The transcript has 25 exons. The record is from RefSeq and is a predicted model, not a curated record.